AAACCAACCGGGAUUGCCUUAGUAACGGCGAGUGAAGCGGCAAAAGCUCAAAUUUGAAAUCUGGUACCUUCGGUGCCCGAGUUGUAAUUUGUAGAAGGUAACUUUGGGGCUGGUCCUUGUCUAUGUUCCUUGGAACAGGACGUCAUAGAGGGUGAGAAUCCCGUGUGGCGAGGAUCCCAGUUCUUUGUAAAGUGCUUUCGAAGAGUCGAGUUGUUUGGGAAUGCAGCUCUAAGUGGGUGGUAAAUUCCAUCUAAAGCUAAAUAUUGGCGAGAGACCGAUAGCGAACAAGUACAGUGAUGGAAAGAUGAAAAGAACUUUGAAAAGAGAGUGAAAAAGUACGUGAAAUUGUUGAAAGGGAAGGGCAUUUGAUCAGACAUGGUGUUUUGCGCCCUCUGCUCCUUGUGGGUGGGGGAAUCUCGCAGCUCACUGGGCCAGCAUCAGUUUUGGCGGCAGGAUAAAUCUGCAGGAAUGUAGCUUGCCUCGGUAAGUGUUAUAUCCUGUAGAAAUACUGCCAGCUGGGACUGAGGACUGCGACUUUACGUCAAGGAUGCUGGCAUAAUGGUUAUAUGCCGCCCGUCUUGAACCACGGACCA
RNAcentral lists this ribosomal RNA (593 nucleotides) under Torulaspora delbrueckii. Its description in RNAcentral is "partial large subunit ribosomal RNA". It matches the Rfam family "Eukaryotic large subunit ribosomal RNA", at positions 62 to 668 of the family's 3401-position model. Lineage: Eukaryota; Fungi; Ascomycota; Saccharomycetes; Saccharomycetales; Saccharomycetaceae. The record is from RNAcentral. RNAcentral also lists the same sequence under 1 other name.